UGGGGAAUAUUGCGCAAUGGGGGGAACCCUGACGCAGCAACGCCGCGUGAGUGAGGAAGGCCUUCGGGUUGUAAAGCUCUUUCGGCUGGGAAGAAGGGAAUCAGUUUUAAUAAAGCUGAUUUUUGAUGGUACCAGAAGAAGAAGCACCGGCUAACUUCGUGCCAGCAGCCGCGGUAAUACGAAGGGUGCAAGCGUUAUUCGGAAUUAUUGGGCGUAAAGGGUUCGUAGGCGGGAGAGCAAGUCAAGUGUGAAAUAUCCAGACUAAACCUGGAAAGUGCAUUUGAAACUGCUUGUCUUGAGUGUUAGAGAGGGUGGUGGAAUUGCUGGUGUAGGAGUGACAUCCGUAGAGAUCAGCAGGAACAUCGGAGGCGAAGGCGGCCACCUGGCUAAAUACUGACGCUGAGGAACGAAAGCAUGGGGAGCAAACAGG
Molecule: ribosomal RNA, 430 nt
Filed under: uncultured bacterium
Lineage: Bacteria
Description: bacterial SSU rRNA
Rfam family: Bacterial small subunit ribosomal RNA
Source: RNAcentral